GUCCAUGCCGUAAACGAUGUCAACUAGCCGUUGGGCUCCUUGAGGGCUUAGUGGCGCAGCUAACGCGAUAAGUUGACCGCCUGGGGAGUACGGUCGCAAGACUAAAACUCAAAUGAAUUGACGGGGGCCCCGCACAAGCGGUGGAGCAUGUGGUUUAAUUCGAUGCAACGCGAAGAACCUUACCUGGCCUUGACAUGUCUGGAAUCCUGCAGAGAUGCGGGAGUGCCUUCGGGAAUCAGAACACAGGUGCUGCAUGGCUGUCGU
Molecule: ribosomal RNA, 264 nt
Filed under: uncultured bacterium
Lineage: Bacteria
Description: partial 16S ribosomal RNA
Rfam family: Bacterial small subunit ribosomal RNA
Source: RNAcentral